This 253-nucleotide ribosomal RNA is filed under the name uncultured bacterium. RNAcentral's name for it is "partial 16S ribosomal RNA". It matches the Rfam family "Bacterial small subunit ribosomal RNA", at positions 524 to 776 of the family's 1533-position model. The record is from RNAcentral.
UACGUAGGUGGCAAGCGUUAUCCGGAUUUAUUGGGCGUAAAGGGAACGCAGGCGGUCUUUUAAGUCUGAUGUGAAAGCCUUCGGCUUAACCGGAGUAGUGCAUUGGAAACUGGGAGACUUGAGUGCAGAAGAGGAGAGUGGAACUCCAUGUGUAGCGGUGAAAUGCGUAGAUAUAUGGAAGAACACCAGUGGCGAAAGCGGCUCUCUGGUCUGUAACUGACGCUGAGGUUCGAAAGCGUGGGUAGCAAACCGG